GACGAACGCUGGCGGCGUGCUUAACACAUGCACGUCGAGCGGAGCGGCGAACGGGUGAGUAACGCGUGAGUAACUGCCCCCCUCUCUGGGAUAACAGUUGGAAACGGCUGCUAAUACCGGAUAGUGGGGGAUGACUCGCGUCCUAUCAGCUUGUUGGUGGGGUAGGGGCCUACCAAGGCCACGACGGGUAGCCGGCCUGAGAGGGAGACCGGCCACAGUGGGCGGAGAUACGGGCCAAACGCCUACGGGAGGCAGCAGUGGGGAAUAUGGCACAAUGGGGGAAACUGUGAGGCAGCAACGCCGCGUGCGGGAUGACGGGCUUAGGGUUGUAAACCGCUUGCAGCGAUGACGCGGUAGUGGCAGAAGAAGCACCGGCUAACUACGUGCCAGCAGCCGCGGUAAUUC
RNAcentral lists this ribosomal RNA (405 nucleotides) under uncultured bacterium. RNAcentral describes it as "partial 16S ribosomal RNA". It matches the Rfam family "Bacterial small subunit ribosomal RNA", at positions 28 to 526 of the family's 1533-position model. The record is from RNAcentral.